This is a non-coding RNA of Caenorhabditis elegans, 143 nucleotides long. The record is from Ensembl. Lineage: Eukaryota; Metazoa; Nematoda; Chromadorea; Rhabditida; Rhabditidae.
AAAGAGGACGAAAACGAUCUUUUUAGGAUCUAUUGGGCACCCGAAGGUCGAAACGAUCAAGGUGUGUGCGUUGCGUAGUGCGCGACCGCCGGGACGGCUUCUCGACUUCAGGCGUGACUCCUUGAUGCACGCACGACUGUAGA